This is a long non-coding RNA of Pecten maximus, 2601 nucleotides long. RefSeq lists it as uncharacterized. The record is from RefSeq and is a predicted model, not a curated record. Lineage: Eukaryota; Metazoa; Mollusca; Bivalvia; Pectinida; Pectinidae. The transcript has 7 exons.
UAGCUACAUCUAGUAUAUCAAUUGAAGAGUAAGAAACAAAUUCAAAUAUCACAGAAAAUGGGAAAUAAUAUAACAAGUGAAAAUUAUUAACAGAAACUGAAAAAUAUUUCUUUUUGUUUUCCCAUGUUUUUGCAAAUUUCACAUUGUACUGUAUAAAAAAAUCCCAAUUAAUUGGACUCCAUCAAACUUGGUUGAUAUUUAUUGCAGUUGUUGUGUCCACAAGGUCCAAUAAUAAUAAUAUCAUUACAAAGGACAAUAACUCUGUAAGCUACUGUCGAAUAAUUACCAUUUUCGAACUCAUCCAAGAUCUUGUUAAUAUAUGGUAACGUACAUAGUUUCCUUAAAAUUGGUUGAUAUUUAUUGCAGGUGUUAUGUUCACAAGUUCCAAUAAUAAUAUCAUUACAAAGAGCAAUAACUCUGUAAAUUAUUGUUGAAUAGUUUCCAUUUACAAACUCAUAUGAGAUCUUGUCGAUAUAUAUCUACAUACAAAGUUUCAUCAAAGUUGGUUGAUAUUUACUCCAGUUAUCACCUUCACAAGGUCCAAUAAUGAUAUCAUACAAAGGGCAAUAACUCUGUAAGUUACAGUUGAAUUAUUCCAUUUUCGAACUCAUCCGAGAUCUUGUCAAUAUAUGGCAGCAUAAAAAGAUUCAUCAAACAUGUUGAGAUUUACUCCAGUUAUCAUGUUCACAAGGUCUAAUAAUGAUAUUAUUACAAAGAGCAAUAAUAAUAGAUCUUGACGAUAUCUGAUUGCAUACAAUGUUUCAUGAAACCUGGCUGACAUUUAAUCAAGUUAUCAUGUUCACAAGGUAAUUAUUGAUGGACAGACAGAUGGAAGGAUGGAAGCUAGACGCCAGAUGCCAAGGUAUGGCAUAAGAAACAAAAUAAUGAAAAAAAAUACUGUGUCACUUCAGACACUCAUGCAACCUAUAGAUAUCGAAAUAAAGCUGAAAUACAAAUAAGAAACAAAAGUUUGAUUAGUUUAAUCUAAUUUUAUUAAAUGGGAUCUCUAAUAAAAAACAUUAUGAUAUUUUGAAAAAAUCCAAAUGAACCAUGACAGGUCAACACAGGUGUAACAUUGAAAACGCAAUUAUAUGGUAAUACAGAUGUACAGUUAUUGUUUCAUUAAGAAUUGUGCCAUCCAAACUCUAAAAUGAUUCAGAAUUCAACCUAGACACUGUAAGGACUGUUUACAGUUAAACCAAACACUGCCAGGACAGGUUAGUGUUAUAACCAGACACUGUCAGGACAGGUUAGUGUUAUAACCAGAUACUGUCAGGACAGGUUAAUGUUAACCAGACACUGCCAGGACAGGUUAAUGUUAACCAGAUACUGUCAGGACAGGUUAGUGUUAUAACCAGAUACUGUCAGGACAGGUUAGUGUUAUAACCAGAUACUGCCAGGACAGGUUAGUGUUAUAACCAGACACUGUCAGGACAGGUUAAUGUUAACCAGACACUGCCAGGACAGGUUAGUGUUAUAACCAGAUACUGUCAGGACAGGUUAGUGUUAUAACCAGAUACUGUCAGGACAGGUUAAUGUUAACCAGACACUGUCAGGACAGGUUAGUGUUAACCAGACACUGCCAGGACAGGUUAAUGUUAACCAGAUACUGUCAGGACAGGUUAGUGUUAUAACCAGAUACUGUCAGGACAGGUUAGUGUUAUAACCAGAUACUGUCAGGACAGGUUAAUGUUAUAACCAGAUACUGUCAGGACAGGUUAGUGUUAACCAGAUACUGUCAGGACAGGUUAGUGUUAACCAAACACUGCCAGGACAGGUUAAUGUUAACCAGAUACUGUCAGGACAGGUUAGUGUUAACCAGAUACUGUCAGGACAGGUUAGUGUUAUAACCAGAUACUGUCAGGACAGGUUAGUGUUAACCAGAUACUGUCAGGACAGGUUAAUGUUAACCAGACACUGUCAGGACAGGUUAAUGUUAACCAGAUACUGUCAGGACAGGUUAGUGUUAUAACCAGACACUGUCAGGACAGGUUAGUGUUAUAACCAGAUACUGUCAGGACAGGUUAGUGUUAUAACCAGAUACUGUCAGGACAGGUUAGUGUUAACCAGAUACUGUCAGGACAGGUUAGUGUUAACCAGAUACUGUCAGGACAGGUUAGUGUUAUAACCAGAUACUGUCAGGACAGGUUAGUGUUAUAACCAGAUACUGUCAGGACAGGUUAGUGUUAUAACCAAACACUGCCAGGACAGGUUAAUGUUAUAACCAGAUACUGUCAGGACAGGUUAGUGUUAUAACCAAACACUGCCAGGACAGGUUAGUGUUAUAACCAGAUACUGUCAGGACAGGUUAGUGUUAACCAGACACUGCCAGGACAGGUUAAUGUUAUAACCAGAUACUGUCAGGACAGGUUAAUGUUAUAACCAGACACUGUCAGGACAGGUUAAUGUUAUAACCAGAUACUGUCAGGACAGGUUAGUGUUAACCAGAUACUGCCAGGACAGGUUAAUGUUAUAACCAGAUACUGUCAGGACAGGUUAAUGUUAUAACCAGACACUGUCAGGACAGGUUAAUGUUAUAACCAGACACUGUCAGGACAGGUUAGUGUUAUAACCAGACACUGUAAGGACAGGUUAAUGUUA